GACAAACCUCAAGUAUGCAAUAAUUUAUCGAACUCGUUUCUUUUCAAGCAUCGGGAAAUUUCUAAAAACUAUUGAAAAUUGGAAAUACAUUUCAAAGAUCAUUAUUUACAAAAAGACUUAUACAUGAAAACAUCAUCUUUGGAAACUAAUUCUGUAAAAUACUAAUAUAUUCAUUUAAAAAAAAAUUAGCCCUACAGAUUGGCAAAAAUUGUACAAACAAAAAGUGUAAAAUAUCAAAUAAACAAAACUAUUUACAUAGAGGGACAAAACUUUAAAAUGGUGCAAUUCCUUUCUAACUCUUUAUGUUUCAAUCGUCAGAUAAUUUUUCAAAUCUAGAGACCUGUCGUAUUUACAAAAAGGGACAAAACUUAUUUGUGCAAUUCUUUUCUGAACUCUUUGUUUUUUAAGCGUUAGAUACGUUUUCAUUACUAAAAAUAUUUU
RNAcentral lists this long non-coding RNA (441 nucleotides) under Mytilus galloprovincialis (Mediterranean mussel). The record is from RNAcentral. Lineage: Eukaryota; Metazoa; Mollusca; Bivalvia; Mytilida; Mytilidae.